CCAUCCCUCUGUGUGUUUCCUCCUCCUCUUAGACACACUGGAAAAUCAUGAGACCCAAGACAAGCCAGGGGUAAUUCCCACCCUUGGCCACGGAGAUUUACCCAAGGCAUGCAUGUGACCCAUUCAGGCCAAUUACAGUGUGGGGGUUUCCUACCUGAUCUGGGGGAACGAACCCUUCCUUGGCUCAUCACAGACAGUGAAAAUGGGAACCUAGGCUGUGUGUAUACCACCAUCCACUUUUCUAUUACACACAUUCCAGCCUACAGACUUGAAGAAGGCCCACGCAGCAUCAGGAGGCAAAUCCAGAGCACUGACAAUUGAUUCCACUGAUUGCCAUAGCAAUAAAACAGUGACCACGACAAGCAGUAUCAAAGAAAUAAAUCUGAAUAGAGAAUAAGUAGGGGUACCCAGAGGUGCAGUGACCCCAGCAUUGGACACAUGGAGCUAGCUGCCUGCGAGCAAUAGAACACCUACUAAGACACUUGGGAAAGAAGGCUCCCAGAGGAAGCAGAAGCAAAGACAGGACGCUGCAAAAAAAGCUCUGCUUUCAUCGGUGGACAUGUCAAUGGAAGAUGGGAAGUUGGAAAUGACUUUUGUAGAGCCAUACAAAACUAGUUUUAUGUCUGGACCAGCUUCUAAUUGACAUGUUGGGCAAGUCAUCACAUAUCUUAUUUCUCCCUGAAGUAAAGUUAAUACCGUCUU
RNAcentral lists this long non-coding RNA (702 nucleotides) under Mus pahari (shrew mouse). RNAcentral describes it as "lncRNA (MGP_PahariEiJ_G0006198.1)". Lineage: Eukaryota; Metazoa; Chordata; Mammalia; Rodentia; Muridae. The record is from RNAcentral.